UGUGAUUUUUUGCUGGGUAAGGC
This 23-nucleotide non-coding RNA is filed under the name Rattus norvegicus (Norway rat). Lineage: Eukaryota; Metazoa; Chordata; Mammalia; Rodentia; Muridae. The record is from RNAcentral.